This 466-nucleotide ribosomal RNA is filed under the name uncultured bacterium. RNAcentral's name for it is "partial 16S ribosomal RNA". It matches the Rfam family "Bacterial small subunit ribosomal RNA", at positions 28 to 507 of the family's 1533-position model. The record is from RNAcentral.
GACGAACGCUGGCGGCGUGCUUAACACAUGCAAGUCGAACGGAAAGGCCCUGCUUUUGUGGGGUGCUCGAGUGGCGAACGGGUGAGUAACACGUGAGUAACCUGCCCUUGACUUUGGGAUAACUUCAGGAAACUGGGGCUAAUACCGGAUAGGAGCUCCUGCUGCAUGGUGGGGGUUGGAAAGUUUCGGCGGUUGGGGAUGGACUCGCGGCUUAUCAGCUUGUUGGUGGGGUAGUGGCUUACCAAGGCUUUGACGGGUAGCCGGCCUGAGAGGGUGACCGGCCACAUUGGGACUGAGAUACGGCCCAGACUCCUACGGGAGGCAGCAGUGGGGAAUAUUGCACAAUGGGCGGAAGCCUGAUGCAGCAACGCCGCGUGCGGGAUGACGGCCUUCGGGUUGUAAACCGCUUUCGCCUGUGACGAAGCGUGAGUGACGGUAAUGGGAAGAAGCACCGGCUAACUACGUG